Long non-coding RNA from Urocitellus parryii (Arctic ground squirrel), 384 nucleotides. RefSeq lists it as uncharacterized. The record is from RefSeq and is a predicted model, not a curated record. NCBI's taxonomy places the organism in Eukaryota, Metazoa, Chordata, Mammalia, Rodentia, Sciuridae.
GCGAGUGAUCCAGAAGUGGAAAAAGAUGGGGUCAGGGAACCUGGUGCCCCCCCCGCCGCCGCCUCAAUUUCUGCAAGAAGUAUUCCUGAACAGAAGUCAUAUUUACUAGCUCUGAGGACACUGGGCAGAAUAUCUCUCAAUGCCUUAGGAGUUCAACGUCGUCUGAGAAAAGAGAAAGCUGAAACCCGGCUGUUAGCCAAAGGCAGAUACCCCUUCAGUGAUUGCAGGUCUUCAGCCUUUCCCAGCGCCUCACACUGCCUCCUCCAGGUGUGUGCCAGAAAAGCUACGUGAACACKUUGAAUAUGCUGACCCCUGCUGACCAUAUGAAAAGGAGCUGGAUUUUAAGUGUAUUAAGGUGGUGCUAAGGAUCGAACCCAGUGCCUC